GGAGUCGGCCGGACAGUCGCGUCGCGCGCAAGCGCAUCGAGGAAAGUCCGGGCUCCAUAGGGCAGAGUGCCAGGUAACUCCUGGGCAGCGUGAGCUGACGGCCAGUGCAACAGAGAGCAGACCGCCGAUGGCCCGGCUACUUUCGGGUAGCUCGGGCACAGGUAAGGGUGAAAGGGUGCGGUAAGAGCGCACCGCGUACGGGGCCAACGUCGUACGGCACGGUAAACCCCACUCGGAGCAAGACCAAAUAGGGGAACGAUAACGCGGCCCGCGUUGUUCCCGGGUAGGUUGCUGGAGCCAGGCGGCGACGCCUGGCCGAGAGGAAUGACUGUCGCGUCGCAAGACGUACAGAACCCGGCUUACAGGCCGACUCCACCU
Molecule: RNase P RNA, 378 nt
Filed under: Rhodanobacter sp. T12-5
Lineage: Bacteria; Pseudomonadati; Pseudomonadota; Gammaproteobacteria; Lysobacterales; Rhodanobacteraceae
Description: RNase P RNA component class A
Rfam family: Bacterial RNase P class A
About the family: Ribonuclease P (RNase P) is a ubiquitous endoribonuclease, found in archaea, bacteria and eukarya as well as chloroplasts and mitochondria.
Source: RNAcentral